This 209-nucleotide long non-coding RNA is filed under the name Elaeis guineensis (African oil palm). RNAcentral describes it as "long non-coding RNA (EGUI_LNC075775)". The record is from RNAcentral. Lineage: Eukaryota; Viridiplantae; Streptophyta; Magnoliopsida; Arecales; Arecaceae.
GCUGUAGGGAUUUGUCGAGAAGCUGCUACUCCGGCUUCAGAAGAUCUUUUGAAGAUCUUCCAGAUCAGAUCCAGAUCUAAUUUUUGGAGCAAAUAUUUACAAGGAGAAGAUGAUCUAGAUCCUGCUCGAGUGGAUACCGAUAGAGGUCAGGCAACUGCGUGGUUAUUUUUGAACCUCGGACAUUGCUGCGAUCAUCUACAGGGUAAUCU